This 154-nucleotide small RNA is filed under the name Saccharopolyspora erythraea. RNAcentral's name for it is "c-di-AMP sequence". It matches the Rfam family "c-di-AMP riboswitch aptamer (ydaO/yuaA leader)". Rfam says of the family: This family represents a conserved RNA structure found upstream of the ydaO and yuaA genes in Bacillus subtilis and related genes in other bacteria. The ydaO/yuaA element is thought to act as a genetic "off" switch for the ydaO and yuaA genes in its native state. It is believed that the element may be triggered during osmotic shock leading to activation of ydaO, a predicted amino acid transporter gene, and members of the yuaA-yubG operon which code for KtrA and KtrB K+ transporters. RNAcentral also lists the same sequence under 1 other name. Lineage: Bacteria; Bacillati; Actinomycetota; Actinomycetes; Pseudonocardiales; Pseudonocardiaceae. The record is from RNAcentral.
CGCGGGUCGCCGCCGAAUCGGCUUUGUCGGGGAGCCGAGCCGGGGAACCAACCCGUGGGGUGAAUCCGGUCCGGGUGUGCGGAGCAUGCCCGCUGGUAGGGCAGCUUCGAGCCCGAACCCGUCAGCUCACCCGGCAGGCGGUCGGAGCAGACGA